CCUACGGGCGGCAGCAGUGAGGAAUAUUGGUCAAUGGACGCAAGCCUGAACCAGCCAAGCCGCGUGCAGGAAGACGGCUCUAUGAGUUGUAAACCGCUUUUGUACGAGGGUAAAGGCAGAUACGCGUAUCGGUCUGAAAGGAUCGUACGAAUAAGGAUCGGCUAACUCCGUGCCAGGAGCCGCGGUAAUACGGAGGAUUGAAGCGUUAGCCGGAUUUAUUGGGUUUAAAGGGUGCGUAGGCGGUCGGAUAAGGUAGAGGUGAAAUCCCGUGGCUCAACUUCGGAAUUGCCUCUGAUACUGUUCUGCUAGAGUGUAGUUGCGGUAGGCGGAAUGUCUGGUGUAGCGGU
Molecule: ribosomal RNA, 347 nt
Filed under: uncultured bacterium
Lineage: Bacteria
Description: partial 16S ribosomal RNA
Rfam family: Bacterial small subunit ribosomal RNA
Source: RNAcentral